CGCAGGGUGGAGCAGUUGGUCAGCUCGCCGCGCUCAUAACGCGGAAGUCGCUGGUUCGAAUCCAGCCCCUGCGA
This 74-nucleotide transfer RNA is filed under the name Gemmata algarum. RNAcentral's name for it is "tRNA-Met". It matches the Rfam family "tRNA". Rfam says of the family: Transfer RNA (tRNA) molecules are approximately 80 nucleotides in length. Lineage: Bacteria; Pseudomonadati; Planctomycetota; Planctomycetia; Gemmatales; Gemmataceae. The record is from RNAcentral.